UACGUAGGGUGCAAGCGUUGUCCGGAAUUAUUGGGCGUAAAGAGCUCGUAGGCGGCUUGUCGCGUCGGCUGUGAAAACCUAGGGCUCAACCCUGGGCCUGCAGCCGAUACGGGCAAGCUAGAGUUCGGUAGGGGAGACUGGAAUUCCUGGUGUAGCGGUGAAAUGCGCAGAUAUCAGGAGGAACACCGGUGGCGAAGGCGGCCUUCUGGACAGUGACUGACGCUGAGACGCGAAAGCGUGGGGAGCAAACAGG
Molecule: ribosomal RNA, 253 nt
Filed under: uncultured bacterium
Lineage: Bacteria
Description: partial 16S ribosomal RNA
Rfam family: Bacterial small subunit ribosomal RNA
Source: RNAcentral